GUGCCAGCAGCCGCGGUAAUACGUAGGUGGCAAGCGUUGUCCGGAUUUAUUGGGUUUAAAGGGUGCGUAGGCGGUCCUAUAAGUCAGUUGUGAAAUACGGCAGCUUAACUGUCGAGGUGCAAUUGAUACUGCAGGACUUGAGUACAGACGAGGUAGGCGGAAUUGACGGUGUAGCGGUGAAAUGCUUAGAUAUCGUCAAGAACACCGAUAGCGAAGGCAGCUUACUAGACUGUAACUGACGCUGAUGCACGAAAGUGUGGGGAUCAAACAGGAUUAGAUACCCUGGUAGUCC
RNAcentral lists this ribosomal RNA (292 nucleotides) under uncultured bacterium. RNAcentral's name for it is "partial 16S ribosomal RNA". It matches the Rfam family "Bacterial small subunit ribosomal RNA", at positions 505 to 796 of the family's 1533-position model. The record is from RNAcentral.